GUGAACGCUGGCGGUAGGCCUAACACAUGCAAGUCGAACGGCAGCACAGUAAGAGCUUGCUCUUACGGGUGGCGAGUGACGGACGGGUGAGGAAUACAUCGGAAUCUACUUUUUCGUGGGGGAUAACGUAGGGAAACUUACGCUAAUACCGCAUACGACCUACGGGUGAAAGCAGGGGAUCUUCGGACCUUGCGCGAUUGAAUGAGCCGAUGUCGGAUUAGCUAGUUGGCGGGGUAAAGGCCCACCAAGGCGACGAUCCGUAGCUGGUCUGAGAGGAUGAUCAGCCACACUGGAACUGAGACACGGUCCAGACUCCUACGGGAGGCAGCAGUGGGGAAUAUUGGACAAUGGGCGCAAGCCUGAUCCAGCCAUACCGCGUGGGUGAAGAAGGCCUUCGGGUUGUAAAGCCCUUUUGUUGGGAAAGAAAAGCAGCAGGUUAAUACCCCGCUGUUCUGACGGUACCCAAAGAAUAAGCACCGGCUAACUUCGUG
Molecule: ribosomal RNA, 491 nt
Filed under: uncultured bacterium
Lineage: Bacteria
Description: partial 16S ribosomal RNA
Rfam family: Bacterial small subunit ribosomal RNA
Source: RNAcentral